CCUACGGGGGGCAGCAGUGGGGAAUAUUGCACAAUGGGGGAAACCCUGAUGCAGCGACGCCGCGUGAGUGAAGAAGUAAUUCGUUAUGUAAAGCUCUAUCAGCAGGGAAGAAAAUGACGGUACCUGAGUAAGAAGCCCCGGGUAACUACGUGCCAGCAGCCGCGGUAAUACGUAGGGGGCAAGCGUUAUCCGGAUUUACUGGGUGUAAAGGGAGCGUAGACGGCAGUGCAAGUCUGGAGUGAAAGGGGGGGGCUCAACCCCCGGACUGCACUGGAAACUGUACGGCUGGAGUGCAGGGGAGGUAAGUGGAAUUCCUAGUGUAGCGGUGAAAUGCGUAGAUAUUAGGAGGAACACCAGUGGCGAAGGCGGCUUACUGGACUGUAACUGACGUUGAGGCUCGAAAGCGUGGGGAGCAAACAGGAUUAGAUACCCUUGUAGUC
Molecule: ribosomal RNA, 440 nt
Filed under: uncultured bacterium
Lineage: Bacteria
Description: partial 16S ribosomal RNA
Rfam family: Bacterial small subunit ribosomal RNA
Source: RNAcentral